This 387-nucleotide unclassified non-coding RNA is filed under the name soil metagenome. RNAcentral describes it as "partial contains 5.8S ribosomal RNA, internal transcribed spacer 2, and large subunit ribosomal RNA". The stretch from base 1 to 120 matches the Rfam family "5.8S ribosomal RNA", at positions 35 to 154 of the family's 154-position model. The record is from RNAcentral.
GAUGAAGAACGUAGCGAAAUGCGAUAAGUAAUGUGAAUUGCAGAAUUCAGUGAAUCAUCGAAUCUUUGAACGCACCUUGCGCUCCUUGGUAUUCCGAGGAGCAUGCCUGUUUGAGUGUCAUGAAAUUCUCAACCUUUUCAGCUUUCUUUGUUGAUCAGGCUUGGAUGUGGGAGUAUGCGGGCUUCUCAGAAGUCGGCUCUCCUGAAAUGCAUUAGCGGGACCUUUGUUGCCUGGCUUUGGUGUGAUAAUUAUCUACGCCAUUGUAGUCAAGCAGCUUAAAAUGAGGUUUCAGCUUCUAACCGUCUCCCCUGAGACAACUUUUUGACAAUUUGACCUCAAAUCAGGUAGGACUACCCGCUGAACUUAAGCAUACCAAUAAGCGGAGGA